GUGGGGAAUAUUGCGCAAUGGGCGAAAGCCUGACGCAGCGACGCCGCGUGAGGGAUGAAGGUUUUCGGAUCGUAAACCUCUGUCAGAAGGGAAGAAAUUAUAUCAUGCUAAUCAGUGGUGUAUUGACGGUACCUUCAAAGGAAGCACCGGCUAACUCCGUGCCAGCAGCCGCGGUAAUACGGAGGGUGCGAGCGUUAAUCGGAAUUACUGGGCGUAAAGCGCACGUAGGCUGUAUGACAAGUCAAGGGUGAAAUGCCACGGCUCAACCGUGGAACUGCCUUUGAAACUGUCAAACUGGAGUAUGUGAGAGGGCGGCGGAAUUCCUGGUGUAGGAGUGAAAUCCGUAGAUAUCAGGAGGAACAUCAGUGGCGAAGGCGGCCGCCUGGCACAAAACUGACGCUGAGGUGCGAAAGCGUGGGUAGCAAACAGG
RNAcentral lists this ribosomal RNA (430 nucleotides) under uncultured bacterium. RNAcentral's name for it is "bacterial SSU rRNA". It matches the Rfam family "Bacterial small subunit ribosomal RNA", at positions 354 to 776 of the family's 1533-position model. The record is from RNAcentral.